CAGUCGCCGCGGGAAUACCGAGGGUGCGAGCGUUAAUCGGAAUUACUGGGCGUAAAGGGCGCGUAGGCGGUUAGGAAGGUGUGAUGUGAAAGCCCUGGGCUUAACCUAGGAAGUGCAUCGCAAACCAACUAGCUGGAGUAUAAGAGAGGGUGGCGGAAUUUCCGGUGUAGCGGUGAAAUGCGUAGAGAUCGGAAGGAACGUCAAUGGCGAAGGCAGCCACCUGGCUUAAUACUGACGCUGAGGCGCGAAAGCGUGGGAGCGAACAGGAUUAGAUACCCGAGUAGUCCCUGUCUCUUAUACA
This 301-nucleotide ribosomal RNA is filed under the name uncultured bacterium. Its description in RNAcentral is "partial 16S ribosomal RNA". It matches the Rfam family "Bacterial small subunit ribosomal RNA", at positions 509 to 808 of the family's 1533-position model. The record is from RNAcentral.